This 117-nucleotide ribosomal RNA is filed under the name Mastacembelus armatus (zig-zag eel). Lineage: Eukaryota; Metazoa; Chordata; Actinopteri; Synbranchiformes; Mastacembelidae. The record is from RNAcentral.
AGUGAUGGCUAAACUGUCCUGUUAGUGCCUGAACCUGUCAGAUCUCUGAACCUAAGCACAGCAGGGCCUGGUCUGUACAGAUGGGAGACCACCUUGAAAGAUCAGGGACCACUAGAC